CUACGGGGGGCACCAGUGGGGAAUAUUGGGCAAUGGGCGAAAGCCUGACCCAGCAACGCCGCGUGAAGGAAGAAGGUUUUCGGAUCGUAAACUUCUAUCCCAGGUGAAGAUAAUGACGGUAGCCUGGAAGGAAGCCCCGGCUAACUACGUGCCAGCAGCCGCGGUAAUACGUAGGGGGCAAGCGUUGUCCGGAAUGAUCGGGCGUAAAGGGCGCGUAGGCGGCCUUCUAAGUCCGAUGUGAAAGUCCCGCUUUUAAGGUGGGAAUUGCAUUGGAAACUGGAGGGCUUGAGUGCAGGAGAGGUAAGUGGAAUUCCCGGUGUAGCGGUGAAAUGCGUAGAGAUCGGGAGGAAUACCAGUGGCGAAGGCGACUUACUGGACUGUAACUGACGCUGAGGCGCGAAAGUGUGGGGAGCAAACAGGAUUAGAUACCCCUGUAGUC
RNAcentral lists this ribosomal RNA (439 nucleotides) under uncultured bacterium. RNAcentral's name for it is "partial 16S ribosomal RNA". It matches the Rfam family "Bacterial small subunit ribosomal RNA", at positions 339 to 795 of the family's 1533-position model. The record is from RNAcentral.